CCUACGGGAGGCAGCAGUGAGGAAUAUUGGUCAAUGGGCGCGAGCCUGAACCAGCCAAGUAGCGUGAAGGAUGACUGCCCUACGGGUUGUAAACUUCUUUUAUAAAGGAAUAAAGUGAGGCACGUGUGCCUUAUUGUAUGUACUUUAUUAAUAAGGAUCGGCUAACUCCGUUCCAGCAGCCGCGGUAAUACGGAGGAUCCGAGCGUUAUCCGGAUUUAUUGGGUUGAAAGGGAGCGUAGAUGGGUUGUUAAGUCAGGUGUGAAAGUUUGCGGCUCAACCGUAAAAUUGCAAUUGAUACUGGCAGUCUUGAGUACAGUAGAGGUAGGCGGAAUUCGUGGUGUAGCGGUGAAAUGCUUAGAUAUCACGAAGAACUCCGAUUGCGAAGGCAGCUUACUAAACUGCCACUGACAUUGAUGCUCGAAAGUGUGGGUAUUAAACAGGAUUAGAGACCCUAGUAGUC
Molecule: ribosomal RNA, 460 nt
Filed under: uncultured bacterium
Lineage: Bacteria
Description: partial 16S ribosomal RNA
Rfam family: Bacterial small subunit ribosomal RNA
Source: RNAcentral